AAUCCAUAGGUUAAUGAGGCGAACCGGGGGAACUGAAACAUCUAAGUACCCCGAGGAAAAGAAAUCAACCGAGAUUCCCCCAGUAGCGGCGAGCGAACGGGGAGGAGCCCAGAGCCUGAAUCAGCAUGUGUGUUAGUGGAAGCGUCUGGAAAGGCGCGCGAUACAGGGUGACAGCCCCGUACACAAAAGCGCAUGUGCUGUGAGCUCGAUGAGUAGGGCGGGACACGUGGUAUCCUGUCUGAAUAUGGGGGGACCAUCCUCCAAGGCUAAAUACUCCUGACUGACCGAUAGUGAACCAGUACCGUGAGGGAAAGGCGAAAAGAACCCCGGCGAGGGGAGUGAAAAAGAACCUGAAACCGUGUACGUACAAGCAGUGGGAGCACCCUUUGGGUGUGACUGCGUACCUUUUGUAUAAUGGGUCAGCGACUUAUAUUCUGUAGCAAGGUUAACCGAAUAGGGGAGCCGGAGGGAAACCGAGUCUUAACCGGGCGUUAAGUUGCAGGGUAUAGACCCGAAACCCGGUGAUCUAGCCAUGGGC
RNAcentral lists this ribosomal RNA (538 nucleotides) under Salmonella enterica subsp. enterica serovar Enteritidis. RNAcentral's name for it is "partial 23S ribosomal RNA". It matches the Rfam family "Bacterial large subunit ribosomal RNA", at positions 161 to 741 of the family's 2925-position model. Lineage: Bacteria; Pseudomonadati; Pseudomonadota; Gammaproteobacteria; Enterobacterales; Enterobacteriaceae. The record is from RNAcentral.